Molecule: non-coding RNA, 120 nt
Organism: Metarhizium robertsii ARSEF 23
Lineage: Eukaryota; Fungi; Ascomycota; Sordariomycetes; Hypocreales; Clavicipitaceae
Source: Rfam
ACAUACGACCAUAGCCACUAGCAGACCUCGCAAACCCGUCCGAUCUUGUACGAUAACCUAGUGAGCGCUGGAUUAGUAGUUGGGUCGGUGACGACCAGCGAAUACCCAGUGUUGUAUGUU